Molecule: long non-coding RNA, 429 nt
Filed under: Ixodes scapularis (black-legged tick)
Lineage: Eukaryota; Metazoa; Arthropoda; Arachnida; Ixodida; Ixodidae
Description: uncharacterized LOC121048456
Source: RNAcentral
AUCGACUGCACCCACGUCAAAAUAAAGGGACCUGGCGGUCCCAAUGGGGAAGUCUUCAGGAACAGGAAAGGGUUCUUCUCCCUCAACGUGCAGGCCAUCACAGGACCCCAGCUGCAGUUUUUUGACCUUGUUGCUAGAUGGCCAGGCUCCGUGCAUGACAGCAGGAUAUUCGAUAACAGUCGUGCAAGGGUCCUGUACGAGAAUCGGCGCAUCCCUGGCCUGCUGCUCGGAGAUGCAGGCUAUGCCUGCAUGUCAUUUCUUCUGACGCCCCUGACCAGCCCAGGUGUAGCCAACAGCCCAAAGGGCAGGUACCAAGCAGCUCACCUAAAAACAAGGAACUCGGUCGAACGGGCAUUUGGAGUGUUCAAGCGACGCUUCCCAUGCCUGGACAUGCGGCUACAGUACAAGGCGGAACGGUCAGCCCUCAUC